RNAcentral lists this unclassified non-coding RNA (1113 nucleotides) under Hevea brasiliensis (rubber tree). The record is from RNAcentral. Lineage: Eukaryota; Viridiplantae; Streptophyta; Magnoliopsida; Malpighiales; Euphorbiaceae.
UCUCUGCUCAGUUCCCAUAUCCACCGCUCUCGAGUCUGAAGUUGAUGAUGAAACCCCAUUUGCAUAUGUUGAAGGGACUGGUAAAGGGCCAAAGAAAUGGGGUCAGAUUGACCCACAUUGGCAAGUUUGUGAUAGUGGAGAAAUGCAAUCUCCUAUUGAUCUUCUUGACAGAAGGGUAGAAGCUUCUCCCAAUCUGGGUAAAUUGCAUAGAGAUUACAAACCAGCUCUUGCAUCUGUAAAGAACAGGGGACAUGACAUCGAAGUGAUUUGGAAAGGAGAUGCAGGAAAAAUCAAUAUUAAUGGUACUAAUUACAAACUGGAACAAUGUCAUUGGCAUUCACCUUCAGAGCACACAUUCAAUGGUUCAAGAUAUGAAUUGGAGCUUCACAUGGUUCACUUUAGCUCUAAGAGGGAGAUAGCUGUUGUUGGAAUCACUUACAAAUACGGUCGGCGUGAUCACUUCCUUUCAAGGUUACUCCACCACAUAAAAUAUGUCAACAAAGAAGAGAGAGAUUUGGGAGUUCUCAACCCAGGAGAUAUCAAAUUUGGGAGCAGAAAGUACUACAGAUAUAUUGGUUCUCUUACAGUUCCUCCUUGUACUGAAGGUGUUGUUUGGACAAUAGUCAAGAAGGUGAGGACAGUUUCAAGAGAGCAAGUGAAAGCAUUAAGGGAUGCUGUUCAUGAUGGAUAUGAGAGAAAUGCAAGACCAAAUCAGCCAUUAUAUGGAAGAGCAGUUUACAUGUACAAUCCAAGUAAGAAUGGAGCAUAAGUCUAUGAAUCCAAAGAAAUGCUAGCUACAAAAUGAAUAUAUACAAUAAUUUAUUCAUAUCUUCAAGAUUCAAGACCAAGGCUGCUCAUUCCAAAUUAAAGUUAAAGAACAAAAUACUUGAAAAGAGUACUAUAACUAUCAUCUUAAAAAAAACACUAUCACACACCCUUAUAUUGAUAUGAAGGGUUAACGUAACUAUCUUUGUAUGGUGCAAUUGUUGGAUUUUGAAAGCGCAGUUUGUUAUUUUGUUGCCGUUGUCUACGUUGCUAUUGGUAACUGUGCUUUGCGGCUAUUUAUAAUAUACUCUUUAGCACCAUAAAAUAGUAAUUGUGCUUUGCAGCUAA